UACUCCUACUCUAACCCCUAACCCUAACCGCAACCCUAACUCUAACCCUAACCCUAACCGAAUUAAUAAAAAAACCCGACUUUAGAAAAUCGAUAGGGCGGUUUGCUGGAUGGAAAAAAGUGCUAACCACGCCACUGAGCGUCAUGCCCUCACAAUUCAGUGCUCGGACUGUUUCACUGCUUUCUCAUUGUUCUGGAAUUCACAAUCCAGUAUUUGAAGUCUGAGUAAACUUAUCCAACAACGUGAGGCAAGUUAUGGACAAACAUUUGACAAAUGCUAAUAUGCUAUUGAAAAACAUUCACAUCACGUCAGAAUAUUCGUGAGAAUAUUUAAUUUUCUGCGGGUUGUAACCAUUGAACUAUAAAUAAACUGGAAGGCUAACUGCUAUGAUGAAGGCCUAUGAUUUGAUGAAGCCAAAAUAGUUUUUCUGAGUUAUGAGCAGAAAUACUUGACCCCAAACGUCGGGCUAUAUAUCAAAUUGAAGCUAUUGAAAAUUGCUAUUCGGUGUGGAAAUUUCAAGACUUCAGCGAAAAGAAAAAUCUUUAAAAAAUACAAAAAUAACUGCAAAACGGCAAAUUAUCGGUAAUUAUGUUUGUAGUUUUUCAAUAUUUCCCUUUUCGCUAAAGUCUUGAAAUUUUUACACCAAAUAGAGUUUUUCAAUAGCUUCAAUUUGAUAUAUAGCCCAACGUUCAGUGUUGAGUAUUUCUGCUCAUAACUCAGAAAAACUAAAAUGCACUGGCUUCAAUUUCCCCCCCUGAGUUAGCCUUCCAGUUUAUUUAUAGUUCAAUGGUUGUAACUUGAGCCGUUGUCACAGUGAUACGAACAUCCCCGUGUUUUGUGUAUCCCCACACUAAUAUCCCUAGGGAUAAAAGUACCCCCGGUGGGGAUACCUACAACACUAGAAGCGAAAGGUGCAAUAUUCAAAAUAUGAGCUCAUUUAUCUGUGCCUUUAUUUUCCGGUAUUAAGUAUUUACAUUUUUACAGUUAUUAAGUAAAUGUGUAUAGUGUGAUUGUACUUUUGUUGUAAG
This is a non-coding RNA of Paramuricea clavata, 1028 nucleotides long. The record is from the annotation of a GenBank genome assembly. Lineage: Eukaryota; Metazoa; Cnidaria; Anthozoa; Malacalcyonacea; Plexauridae.